AGCGAGCGAGCGAGCAGCCCGCGCCGUCCUCCCGCAGCACCAGCCAGGCCACGCCGCCGCCUCUUCCCCUGCGCCCCGCGCCCAGGCCGGGCCGAGCCGAGCCGGGUCGGGCCCGGGCCAUGCUGCUCACCGUGUACUGUGUGCGGAGGGACCUCUCCGAGGUGACCUUUUCCCUCCAGGUCGACGCCGACUUCGAGCUGCACAACUUCCGCGCGCUGUGCGAGCUCGAGUCUGGCAUCCCCGCAGCCGAGAGCCAGAUCGUCUAUGCUGAAAGACCUCUCACAGACAACCACAGAUCAUUGGCUUCUUAUGGCUUGAAAGAUGGGGACGUUGUGAUUUUACGACAGAAGGAGAAUGCAGACCCUCGACCUCCAGUGCAGUUCCCAAACUUACCCCGAAUAGAUUUCAGUAGUAUAGCUGUGCCUGGCACAUCAAGUCCCCGGCAGCGCCAGCCACCAGGAACACAGCAGUCCCACUCAUCUCCUGGAGAAAUAACUUCAUCUCCUCAGGGCUUGGACAAUCCAGCCUUGCUCCGAGAUAUGUUGCUGGCCAACCCCCAUGAGCUGUCCUUGCUGAAGGAACGCAAUCCACCCCUGGCAGAAGCUCUGCUCAGUGGAGACCUUGAGAAAUUUUCUAGAGUCCUGGUGGAGCAGCAGCAGGACCGAGCCCGGAGAGAGCAAGAAAGGAUUCGUCUGUUUUCUGCUGAUCCCUUUGACCUUGAAGCUCAGGCAAAGAUAGAAGAAGAUAUAAGGUAAUGACCUGUUCAUCUAAAGAACAAGACUUAGAGACUUCAGAUUUCCCAAACUGCAGGUUAUCUGACAUUAGUUGGGCAUCUGCUUAGAGGUAGCUUCUGUUUUGCAGUUGAGAUAGUAACCUCAGUCUUUUAGGUUAGUCUCUCCUCUUUCAUUUUCUAUGCAUUUCGAUUCGACAUGACAAAGAUAUAGGUGCUUAGUUUAAUGACUUUCUUUGUAAAAUUUUAAGGAAGACUCCCUGACUAGCAGACAGAGCAUCAUAACACAGCUCUAGAUAAAUGACCCCCGGACUGAGCAGAAACUACCAUCUGGUGACACCGCAAGGCUGGUUGCAUAUUACAUGGGCUGAUUUGACUCUCUCUCUUUAGACAUAUUGUAUAAGUCCUGAUUAAAUCCAGGGCUUAAAUAUGAUUGGAUUAGAGAGGGCUCUGCGCCAAUGGAACAUUGGUAGUCCUAAGUCUGUUUUCCUGCUGCAUUUCUUGUACUGGCCUCAGUGGAUAAACUGAAUGCUGGACAUGUUUCCAGCUCUCAGUUUCUGUAAUGCAGUGGUUCUCACCUGGGGCUAUAGUAAAAUCACAUGAGAAGCUUUUAAAAAUGCAGAUGCUUGGGCUCUUCUCCCAAAUCUGAUGAAUCAGAAUUGUCAGGCAUGGAGCUCAAGCAAGGACAGUGGCGCUGUUCCGGCCUCAGUCACACUGAUAGUCACAAGCAAGAUUCUGUUCAGUCAUUCUCUGAAAAAAA
Molecule: small RNA, 1490 nt
Filed under: Pongo abelii (Sumatran orangutan)
Lineage: Eukaryota; Metazoa; Chordata; Mammalia; Primates; Hominidae
Description: retained intron
Source: RNAcentral